This 252-nucleotide ribosomal RNA is filed under the name uncultured bacterium. RNAcentral describes it as "partial 16S ribosomal RNA". It matches the Rfam family "Bacterial small subunit ribosomal RNA", at positions 524 to 776 of the family's 1533-position model. The record is from RNAcentral.
UACGUAGGUGGCGAGCGUUAUCCGGAAUCAUUGGGCGUAAAGGGUGCGUAGGCGGCAGAUUAAGUUUGUGGUGAAAGAGCAAGGCUCAACCUUGUUAAGCCACAAAAACUGGUCAGCUAGAGUGCAGUAGAGGCAAGUGGAAUUCCAUGUGUAGCGGUAAAAUGUGUAGAUAUAUGGAGGAACACCGGUGGCGAAGGCGGCUUGCUGGGCUGUAACUGACGCUGAGGCACGAAAGCGUGGGGAGCAAAUAGG